Molecule: ribosomal RNA, 260 nt
Filed under: uncultured bacterium
Lineage: Bacteria
Description: partial 16S ribosomal RNA
Rfam family: Bacterial small subunit ribosomal RNA
Source: RNAcentral
AGGCCUAACACAUGCAAGUCGAGCGCCCCGCAAGGGGAGCGGCAGACGGGAGAGUAACACGUGGGAACGCACCCUUCAGUUCGGAACAACCCAGGGAAACUUGGGCUAAUACCGGAUACGUCCGCGAGGAGAAAGAUUUAUCGCUGAAGGAUCGGCCCGCGUCUGAUUAGCUUGUUGGUGGGGUAAUGGCCCACCAAGGCUACGAUCAGCAGCUGGUCUGAGAGGAUGAUCAGCCUCACUGGGACUGAGACACGGCCCAG